AUGAACGCUGGCGGCGUGCCUAAUACAUGCAAGUCGAGCGAACAGACGAGGAGCUUGCUCCUCUGACGUUAGCGGCGGACGGGUGAGUAACACGUGGAUAACCUACCUAUAAGACUGGGAUAACUUCGGGAAACCGGAGCUAAUACCGGAUAAUAUAUUGAACCGCAUGGUUCAAUAGUGAAAGACGGUUUUGCUGUCACUUAUAGAUGGAUCCCCGCCGCAUUAGCUAGUUGGUAAGGUAACGGCUUACCAAGGCAACGAUGCGUAGCCGACCUGAGAGGGUGAUCGGCCACACUGGAACUGAGACACGGUCCAGACUCCUACGGGAGGCAGCAGUAGGGAAUCUUCCGCAAUGGGCGAAAGCCUGACGGAGCAACGCCGCGUGAGUGAUGAAGGUCUUCGGAUCGUAAAACUCUGUUAUUAGGGAAGAACAAAUGUGUAAGUAACUAUGCACGUCUUGACGGUACCUAAUCAGAAAGCCACGGCUAACUACGUG
Molecule: ribosomal RNA, 496 nt
Filed under: uncultured bacterium
Lineage: Bacteria
Description: partial 16S ribosomal RNA
Rfam family: Bacterial small subunit ribosomal RNA
Source: RNAcentral